RNAcentral lists this ribosomal RNA (497 nucleotides) under uncultured bacterium. RNAcentral's name for it is "partial 16S ribosomal RNA". It matches the Rfam family "Bacterial small subunit ribosomal RNA", at positions 28 to 507 of the family's 1533-position model. The record is from RNAcentral.
GAUGAACGCCGGCGGCGUGCCUAAUACAUGCAAGUCGAGCGAACGGACGAGAAGCUUGCUUCUCUGAUGUUAGCGGCGGACGGGUGAGUAACACGUGGGUAACCUACCUAUAAGACUGGGAUAACUUCGGGAAACCGGAGCUAAUACCGGAUAAUAUUUUGAACCGCAUGGUUCAAUAGUGAAAGACGGUCUUGCUGUCACUUAUAGAUGGAUCCGCGCUGCAUUAGCUAGUUGGUAAGGUAACGGCUUACCAAGGCAACGAUGCAUAGCCGACCUGAGAGGGUGAUCGGCCACACUGGAACUGAGACACGGUCCAGACUCCUACGGGAGGCAGCAGUAGGGAAUCUUCCGCAAUGGGCGAAAGCCUGACGGAGCAACGCCGCGUGAGUGAUGAAGGUCUUCGGAUCGUAAAACUCUGUUAUUAGGGAAGAACAUAUGUGUAAGUAACUGUGCACAUCUUGACGGUACCUAAUCAGAAAGCCACGGCUAACUACGUG